AGGCAUCACCACCUACUUCCCCUCAGCAGUGGGUCCUUGGUGACCCUCUGGCUGGCAAAUGAUCCCAUCCUGAGGGCCUGCUUCCCAGGACCAUGUCUGGUAUUGUCUCAGGUUGGGGCCCCCAGAAGCCGACCCUGAGAAAAAGAUUUGAGAGCGCAUCAUUUAUUUAGGAGGUGACCCCAGGAAGCCCCUGCAGGGGACAGGUUCUUUCUGCCAUCAUGAAUGUGGCAGAAAGUUGUCAUGAUGCUACAGCAUUUCUCAAGCGUGGUUGUUUCAGGGGAAGAGACUCUGAGGCAGAGAGGAACAUGCAGGAGGUUGAUUAGAGACCGCUCUUGGGAUCAACACCGCUGGAAGAGAAUGCAAUGGAAGGAAGCAAGAUUGGGCAGAAGGAGAAGCUGAUCUGUGAUGCAAGCCCCGUGGGGAGCUCUGAAAAUGGAGGAUGACCAAAGAAUGGCCUUGGUGAUAGAUGAGAUGACCCAGCUGGAGGGUGUAGACAGAGAACGGUCCAGGACCAGUGCUCAGGAAGGUCCAGAUUUAAUGGCUGGGCAGAGGCAGAUGAGUGCACAAUGGAGACCAAGGAGACUCUUCCAGAGAAGUAGGAGGAAACCAAAGAGAUGCGGCCUCCCGGAAGUGACAAGACGAAAAUAUUAUAAGGAGGAGGAUGUGGCCAUGUGCUGGAAGAGGGAUAACAGCAGAUAAAUGAAGAUAAUCUGGACAGCGGUCUGCUUUUGGGGGAACUUAAGCCAACACAAGCUCGAUGGAGAGGACGAGGUUGAAAGUAAAGAAGAGAGAGGAUGCAAAAGAAGGAGCAGAUCCCCAGGGGGUCUAGGGGGAGGUGAGAUGAUCAGCAAAGAGUGGGAGAUGAGCAACUUGAGGAGAGUGGAGAAGGUCGUCCUGUGGAGAAGGAGAGAGCAGCUUAGGAAAACGGGGAGCCAUUCUCAAAGAGUCUGAAGACGCGGGGAAUCGUAAAUUUGUGGUAGAACCGUCUACGCCAUUGUGAGAUGGCCUCCGUCAACCCUUGGCAUCUCUGUGAAGGCAACAAAGAGGCGGGCAGCUGGAUUCUGCGGUUUUGCCAGGGCCGUGUAAGCUGGCAGCCCUCAUGCGACGUUCCGGAGCCGGUGGCACAAGGGGGUCUACAGAGAGAAGAGAGCGGCUCUGCAGGGAAUGAGAAGGAGGAGAGUGGGGGACUCGGACUGAGCGUGGAGAACAGCCACUUGCAUUGCGGUCUCUCCAGUUUCCCAUUUCAAACUCUGGGUCAGCGUGGCAGUCCUUCCUGCCUGUGGGUUCCAUAUGACAUCUGUAAAAUGGGAUGGGAUGGUACCCACCUCCAAGGGUGACUGAAGAUGAGGAACAGCCCGUGUGGGUGCUCAAUAAAUGCUGGCUCUUACUCAG
This 1392-nucleotide long non-coding RNA is filed under the name Equus asinus (donkey). RNAcentral describes it as "lncRNA (ENSEASG00005024946.1)". The record is from RNAcentral. Lineage: Eukaryota; Metazoa; Chordata; Mammalia; Perissodactyla; Equidae.